RNAcentral lists this long non-coding RNA (1110 nucleotides) under Calidris pugnax (ruff). RNAcentral describes it as "lncRNA (ENSCPUG00000003781.1)". The record is from RNAcentral. Lineage: Eukaryota; Metazoa; Chordata; Aves; Charadriiformes; Scolopacidae.
AUGAAAGCCAAGAAGGAUGGUGGCCCGAUGCACCUGCGUGGAGACUACAUCUCCUCCAGGGUUUGGGUGGGCUACUUGACAACCCAGUUUGAUCUUUGAGGGGCUGAGGACCCUUCGUGGUCACCACCAAGAGCUCCUCCUCGAGCCUUUGAUGGAGGAGGUUGGGCUCAGAGCUGCCCGUUUCUAUCAGCUCAUGUCUCCAAUCAACCACCUCCUGGGGCUCCAUCCUGUCCUGUGCUCCUUCUCCAGCCCAAAGUGGGACAACCCCAUGGGCAACACUUGUCUCCCUUCUCCUUCUCCCUCCUCCUCAUUCUCCUUCUUAUCCUCUUUCUCCUCCUCCCUUUCUCCUUCGCCUUCUCCCUCUUUUUCUUCUCCUCCUCUCCCUCCUUCUCCUCCUUCUCCUUCUCCUUCUCCCCCUCCUUCUCCUUCUCCCCCUCCUUCUCCUUCUCAUUCUUGUCCUCUUUCUCCUUCACCUUCUCUCUUUUCUUCUCCUCCUCUCCCUCCUCCUUCUCCUUCUCCUUCUCCUUCUCCUUCUCCCCCUCCUCCUCCUUCUCCUUCUCCUUCUCCUUCUCCUUCUCCUUCUCCUUCUCCUUCUCCUUCUCCUUCUCCUUCUCCUUCUCCUUCCCCUCCUCCUCUUUCUCAUUCUUCUCCUUUCUCCUCCUUUCUCCUUCACCUUCUCCUUCUCCCUCCUCCUCUCCUCCACCUUCUCCCUCUUCUUCUCCUCCUCCCCCUCCUUCUCCUCAUGCUUCAAGCUUCAUCCUUCUCCUCUCUCUCCUCCUCCUCCUCCUUCUUCAUCCUCCUCCUCCUUCUCUUAUUAAACUAUUUUUAUCUCCGCUCACAAGUUUUCUCACUUUUCCCCUUCCCUGGUUCACCCCCAGGUGCUGCCCCAUCCGGGGGGAUGCGGUGAGUUUUGGGGUGGGGAAGGGGACCAAGGGUGGGCACCGGUCCCAGGUGGAGGAGGAAGAGGGAUGGAGGAGGAGGAAGAGAAGGAGGGAUGGAAGAGGAGGAGAGAUGGAAGAGGGAUGGAGGAGAAGGAGGAGGGAUGGAGAAGGAGAGAUGAAGGAGGAGCAAGAGCAGAAGGAGUUGGAGGAUGGAGCAGGCAGAGGAGCC